UCCUUUUAUUUUUCUCAAUUUUUUGACCUUCCAUGAUUUUCUCAAAUUGGUUAUAUAUAUUCUCUCCUAUCAAUAAAAGGAUUCUUGACAAAAAUAAAAAACCUCUCUUUCUACUCAUUCUGGUCGACAGAUCAAUCAUGGAUACCAACAGUUAUUCAAUCCUAAUUCAACAUAAAGAACGUUGAGACGCAUCAGAUAAAUACGUUGAUUACGAUAUUAAAGGAGUGAUAUAUAUAUAUGAUGCAAACAUCAAAUAUGAAGGCAUAAUUACUUAUGUCAAGAGGAGGUCAAUACUUGUACAAUAUAAUUUUCCUACAAAAACGUGUCUCUUGAAACCUUUUGAGCGUGCAAGAAUAGCUCCACCCCUGAAUAGAAGGGAGACAAGGUUGUGGGCCAAGAAUCAAUUCAAUGGGAUAAGUUACCUGCACACCAGGCUACUUGGGAAGAUUAUCAACACUAUUGGUUUAUUUUCGAAAUUUUCUUCCUUGAGGACAAGGAAAAUUUUAAUUGA
Long non-coding RNA from Solanum tuberosum (potato), 511 nucleotides. RefSeq lists it as uncharacterized. The transcript has 3 exons. The record is from RefSeq and is a predicted model, not a curated record. NCBI's taxonomy places the organism in Eukaryota, Viridiplantae, Streptophyta, Magnoliopsida, Solanales, Solanaceae.